Molecule: non-coding RNA, 29 nt
Filed under: Mus musculus (house mouse)
Lineage: Eukaryota; Metazoa; Chordata; Mammalia; Rodentia; Muridae
Source: RNAcentral
UGUGAAGCCACUGACCCCACAUGGCAGGG